AAUUCGAUAGGUGAUGGAGCUCACCGUUUACUUCCUGCAAAGGAUGAUGGCUCCUACGGAUAG
Molecule: non-coding RNA, 63 nt
Filed under: Paenalicyclobacillus macrosporangiidus
Lineage: Bacteria; Bacillati; Bacillota; Bacilli; Caryophanales; Alicyclobacillaceae
Description: Alicyclobacillus macrosporangiidus Fluoride sequence
Rfam family: Fluoride riboswitch aptamer (crcB RNA motif)
Source: Rfam by way of RNAcentral